This 253-nucleotide ribosomal RNA is filed under the name uncultured bacterium. RNAcentral describes it as "partial 16S ribosomal RNA". It matches the Rfam family "Bacterial small subunit ribosomal RNA", at positions 524 to 776 of the family's 1533-position model. The record is from RNAcentral.
UACGAAGGGGGCUAGCGUUGCUCGGAAUCACUGGGCGUAAAGGGUGCGUAGGUGGGUCUGUAAGUCAGUGGUGAAAUCUCCGAGCUUAACUCGGAAACUGCCAUUGAUACUAUAGGUCUUGAAUUAUCUGGAGGUAAGCGGAAUAUGUCAUGUAGCGGUGAAAUGCUUAGAUAUGACAUAGAACACCAAUUGCGAAGGCAGCUUACUACGGAUAUAUUGACACUGAGGCACGAAAGCGUGGGGAUCAAACAGG